ACAGAGGGGGCAAGCGUUAUUCGGAAUUAUUGGGCGUAAAGGGCGCGUAGGCGGCCAUUCAAGUGGCGGGUGAAAGCCCUCGGCUUAACCGAGGAACUGCCUGUCAGACUGGAUGGCUUGAGACCGGGAGAGGUGAGUGGAAUUCCCAGUGUAGCGGUGAAAUGCGUAGAUAUCAGGAGGAACACCGGUGGCGAAGGCGCUCAUCUGGCCCGAUACUGACGCUGAGGCGCGAAAGCUAGGGGAGCAAACGGGA
Molecule: ribosomal RNA, 253 nt
Filed under: uncultured prokaryote
Description: partial 16S ribosomal RNA
Rfam family: Bacterial small subunit ribosomal RNA
Source: RNAcentral